This 364-nucleotide unclassified non-coding RNA is filed under the name uncultured fungus. Its description in RNAcentral is "partial contains 5.8S ribosomal RNA and internal transcribed spacer 2". The stretch from base 1 to 133 matches the Rfam family "5.8S ribosomal RNA", at positions 22 to 154 of the family's 154-position model. The record is from RNAcentral. Lineage: Eukaryota; Fungi.
UGGCUCUCGCAUCGAUGAAGAACGCAGCGAAAUGCGAUAAGUAAUGUGAAUUGCAGAAUUCAGUGAAUCAUCGAAUCUUUGAACGCACCUUGCACCCUUUGGUAUUCCGAAGGGUACACCUGUUUGAGUGUCAUUGUAAUCUCACUCUCUCUAUUUGAGAGUAGUGGAUCUGGACGUUUGCCGUAGUAGUAUGGCUCGUCUGAAAUACAUGAGUGUAACCUGUAGGAUCAGUGUUAUCCAAUGUGAUAUGUAUCUUCAUUGGAAUCAGUCGAAAGUCUGCGCUAUUCUUUAGGCUCUAUGCUACAAAUCGUCUUUGGACAAACUUUGACAAUUUGACCUCAAAUCAGGUGGGACUACCCGCUGA